CACCGCCCGUCACACCAUGAGAGUUUUUUGUACCCGAAGGCAUCUUAGCUAACCAUUUAUGGAGGCGGAUGACUAUGGUAUGGGAAGCGAUUGGGGUG
RNAcentral lists this ribosomal RNA (98 nucleotides) under uncultured bacterium. Its description in RNAcentral is "partial 16S ribosomal RNA". It matches the Rfam family "Bacterial small subunit ribosomal RNA", at positions 1388 to 1482 of the family's 1533-position model. The record is from RNAcentral.